ACUUAAAUUGAAGAGUUUGAUCAUGGCUCAGAUUGAACGCUGGCGGCAGGCCUAACACAUGCAAGUCGAGCGGAAACGGCAGUAUUGAAGCUUCGG
RNAcentral lists this ribosomal RNA (96 nucleotides) under Salinivibrio sp. ML198. Its description in RNAcentral is "partial 16S ribosomal RNA". It matches the Rfam family "Bacterial small subunit ribosomal RNA", at positions 1 to 94 of the family's 1533-position model. The record is from RNAcentral. Lineage: Bacteria; Pseudomonadati; Pseudomonadota; Gammaproteobacteria; Vibrionales; Vibrionaceae.